GGUAACUUUGGAGUUGGCUCUUGUCUAUGUUCCUUGGAACAGGACGUCACAGAGGGUGAGAAUCCCGUGCGAUGAGAUGCCCAAUUCUAUGUAAAGUGCUUUCAAAGAGUCUAGUUGUUUGGGAAUGCAGCUCUAAGUGGGUGGUAAAUUCCAUCUAAAGCUAAAUAUUGGCGAGAGACCGAUAGCGAACAAGUACAGUGAUGGAAAGAUGAAAAGAACUUUGAAAAGAGAGUGAAAAAGUACGUGAAAUUGUUGAAAGGGAAGGGCUUGAGAUCAGACUUGGUAUUUUGCGAUCCUUUCCUUCUUGGUUGGGUUCCUCGCAGCUUACUGGGCCAGCAUCGGUUUGGAUGGUAGGAUAAUGACUAAGGAA
Molecule: ribosomal RNA, 370 nt
Filed under: Debaryomyces hansenii
Lineage: Eukaryota; Fungi; Ascomycota; Pichiomycetes; Serinales; Debaryomycetaceae
Description: partial large subunit ribosomal RNA
Rfam family: Eukaryotic large subunit ribosomal RNA
Source: RNAcentral